This 323-nucleotide ribosomal RNA is filed under the name Staphylococcus epidermidis. Its description in RNAcentral is "bacterial LSU rRNA". It matches the Rfam family "Bacterial large subunit ribosomal RNA", at positions 2608 to 2925 of the family's 2925-position model. Lineage: Bacteria; Bacillati; Bacillota; Bacilli; Caryophanales; Staphylococcaceae. The record is from RNAcentral.
GGUUCAGAACGUCGUGAGACAGUUCGGUCCCUAUCCGUCGUGGGCGUAGGAAAUUUGAGAGGAGCUGUCCUUAGUUCGAGAGGACCGGGAUGGACAUACCUCUUGUGUACCAGUUGUCGUGCCAACGGCAUAGCUGGGUAGCUAUGUAUGGACGGGAUAAGUGCUGAAAGCAUCUAAGCAUGAAGCCCCCCUCAAGAUGAGAUUUCCCAACUUCGGUUAUAAGAUCCCUCGAAGAUGACGAGGUUAAUAGGUUCGAGGUGGAAGCGUGGUGACACGUGGAGCUGACGAAUACUAAUCGAUCGAAGACUUAAUCAAUUUUUAAA